GUCCCGGUAGCUCAGCUGGAUAGAGCAACGCCCUUCUAAGGCGUCGGUCGGGGGUUCGAAUCCCUCCCGGGACGCCA
This 77-nucleotide transfer RNA is filed under the name Paenibacillus vietnamensis. RNAcentral's name for it is "tRNA-Arg". It matches the Rfam family "tRNA". Rfam says of the family: Transfer RNA (tRNA) molecules are approximately 80 nucleotides in length. The record is from RNAcentral. Lineage: Bacteria; Bacillati; Bacillota; Bacilli; Caryophanales; Paenibacillaceae. RNAcentral also lists the same sequence under 1 other name.